UCACUACUAUAUGCGUGCACAUAACUGGCUCAGUCAUUUAAUUGGCGGCUUUCAAGUCAGUCGUUCUUGAGCUUUCGCGUUGUGCACUUGUUUUGAACACAGUGAGCGCUUGUCAGCUAAAUUUAUAUGUUUUUGGUGUUAGGUGUAUGUGGAUACAAGUGUGGUUGUACAUAUCUGAAGUGAAGAAAAAAAGUUGACCAACUGCUUGAUUGUGUAAAAAGGGUGCGCCACGCACAUACAUACAUACAUACAUACAUACAUACGCGAAGGAGUCAGCGCAUUUUUUGCUUGCACUUGAAGAGGCCGACGAGAAUAUCCUCCUGUCUAUUUGCAGGAAUUUUUCAGUGGAACUCAAUUAGGAGCAGCGUGUGCAA
Long non-coding RNA from Rhagoletis zephyria (snowberry fruit fly), 374 nucleotides. RefSeq lists it as uncharacterized. The record is from RefSeq and is a predicted model, not a curated record. NCBI's taxonomy places the organism in Eukaryota, Metazoa, Arthropoda, Insecta, Diptera, Tephritidae.